RNAcentral lists this ribosomal RNA (395 nucleotides) under uncultured bacterium. RNAcentral describes it as "partial 16S ribosomal RNA". It matches the Rfam family "Bacterial small subunit ribosomal RNA", at positions 523 to 918 of the family's 1533-position model. The record is from RNAcentral.
AUACGUAGGGGGCAAGCGUUGUCCGGAAUUACUGGGCGUAAAGCGCACGCAGGCUGAAUUAUAAGUCGGUAGUCAAAGGCGGAGGCUCAACCUCUGUAUAUCUAUCGAUACUGUAAAUCUGGAGUAUGUGAGAGGGAAGCGGACUUCCCGGUGUAGCGGUGAAAUGCGUAGAUAUCGGGAGGAACACCAGUGGCGAAGGCGGCUUCCUGGCACAAUACUGACGCUCAUGUGCGAAAGCUAGGGCAGCGAACGGGAUUAGAUACCCCGGUAGUCCUAGCCGUAAACGAUGGAUACUAGGUGUGGGUGUCGCAGGGCAUCCGUGCCGCAGUUAACGCGUUAAGUAUCCCGCCUGGGGACUACGGUCGCAAGACUGAAACUCAAAGGAAUUGACGGGG